GAUGAACGCUAGCUACAGGCUUAACACAUGCAAGUCGAGGGGCAUCAGGAAGAAAGCUUGCUUUCUUUGCUGGCGACCGGCGCACGGGUGAGUAACACGUAUCCAACCUGCCCUUUACUCGGGGAUAGCCUUUCGAAAGAAAGAUUAAUACCCGAUAGCAUAAUGAUUCCGCAUGGUUUCAUUAUUAAAGGAUUCCGGUAAAGGAUGGGGAUGCGUUCCAUUAGGUUGUUGGUGAGGUAACGGCCCACCAAGCCUUCGAUGGAUAGGGGUUCUGAGAGGAAGGUCCCCCACAUUGGAACUGAGACACGGUCCAAACUCCUACGGGAGGCAGCAGUGAGGAAUAUUGGUCAAUGGGCGCUAGCCUGAACCAGCCAAGUAGCGUGAAGGAUGAAGGCUCUAUGGGUCGUAAACUUCUUUUAUAUAAGAAUAAAGUGCAGUAUGUAUACUGUUUUGUAUGUAUUAUAUGAAUAAGGAUCGGCUAACUCCGUGCCAGCAGCCGCGGUAAUACGGAGGAUCCGAGCGUUAUCCGGAUUUAUUGGGUCUAAAGGGAGCGUAGGUGGACUGGUAAGUCAGUUGUGAAAGUUUGCGGCUCAACCGUAAAAUUGCAGUUGAUACUGUCAGUCUUGAGUACAGUAGAGGUGGGCGGAAUUCGUGGUGUAGCGGUGAAAUGCUUAGAUAUCACGAAGAACUCCGAUUGCGAAGGCAGCUCACUGGACUGCAACUGACACUGAUGCUCGAAAGUGUGGGUAUCAAACAGGAUUAGAUACCCUGGUAGUCCACACAGUAAACGAUGAAUACUCGCUGUUUGCGAUAUACAGUAAGCGGCCAAGCGAAAGCAUUAAGUAUUCCACCUGGGGAGUACGCCGGCAACGGUGAAACUCAAAGGAAUUGACGGGGGCCCGCACAAGCGGAGGAACAUGUGGUUUAAUUCGAUGAUACGCGAGGAACCUUACCCGGGCUUAAAUUGCAGUGGAAUGAUGUGGAAACAUGUCAGUGAGCAAUCACCGCUGUGAAGGUGCUGCAUGGUUGUCGUCAGCUCGUGCCGUGAGGUGUCGGCUUAAGUGCCAUAACGAGCGCAACCCUUAUCUUUAGUUACUAACAGGUUAUGCUGAGGACUCUAGAGAGACUGCCGUCGUAAGAUGUGAGGAAGGUGGGGAUGACGUCAAAUCGGCACGGCCCUUACGUCCGGGGCUACACACGUGUUACAAUGGGGGGUACAGAAGGCAGCUAGCGGGUGACCGUAUGCUAAUCCCAAAAUCCUCUCUCAGUUCGGAUCGAAGUCUGCAACCCGACUUCGUGAAGCUGGAUUCGCUAGUAAUCGCGCAUCAGCCACGGCGCGGUGAAUACGUUCCCGGGCCUUGUACACACCGCCCGUCAAGCCAUGGGAGCCGGGGGUACCUGAAGUACGUAACCGCAAGGAUCGUCCUAGGGUAAAACUGGUGACUGGGGCU
RNAcentral lists this ribosomal RNA (1451 nucleotides) under uncultured organism. RNAcentral describes it as "SSU rRNA". It matches the Rfam family "Bacterial small subunit ribosomal RNA". The record is from RNAcentral.